GACGAACGCUGGCGGCGUGCUUAACACAUGCAAGUGGAGCGACGAACCAGGGCUUGCCCUGGGGCAGAGCCGCGAACGGGUGAGUAACACGUGGGUAACGUGCCCCGAUGACUGGGACAACCCGGGGAAACCCGGGCUAAUACCGGAUGUGCCCCCUCACAUCAGUGAGGUGUGUAAAGGAAGCUUCGGCCUCCGCAUCGGGAUCGGCCCGCGGCCCAUUAGCUUGUUGGUGAGGUAACGGCUCACCAAGGCUGCGAUGGGUAGCUGGUCUGAGAGGACGAUCAGCCACACUGGGACUGAGACACGGCCCAGACUCCUACGGGAGGCAGCAGUGGGGAAUCUUGCGCAAUGCGCGAAAGCGUGACGCAGCAACGCCGCGUGGGGGAAGACGGCCUUCGGGUUGUAAACCCCUUUCAGUUGGGACGAAGGUCGGGCGGUUAACAGCCGUUCCGGCUGACGGUACCUUCACAAGAAGCCCCGGCUAACUACGUG
RNAcentral lists this ribosomal RNA (492 nucleotides) under uncultured bacterium. RNAcentral's name for it is "partial 16S ribosomal RNA". It matches the Rfam family "Bacterial small subunit ribosomal RNA", at positions 28 to 507 of the family's 1533-position model. The record is from RNAcentral.